Molecule: transfer RNA, 65 nt
Filed under: Curculionoidea sp. 1 KM-2017
Lineage: Eukaryota; Metazoa; Arthropoda; Insecta; Coleoptera
Description: tRNA-Pro
Source: RNAcentral
CAGAAUAUAGUUUAAAAAAAAUAUUAAUUUUGGAGAUUAAAGAUAAUAAUAAAUAUUUAUUCUGA